RNAcentral lists this ribosomal RNA (1415 nucleotides) under metagenome. RNAcentral's name for it is "SSU rRNA". It matches the Rfam family "Eukaryotic small subunit ribosomal RNA", at positions 363 to 1801 of the family's 1831-position model. The record is from RNAcentral.
CGGGGAAUCAGGGUUCGAUUCCGGAGAGGGAGCCUUAGAAAUGGCUACCACAUCUAAGGAAGGCAGCAGGCGCGCAAAUUACCCACUCUCAGCUAGAGGAGGUAGUGACGAAAAAUAACGAUGCGGGACUCCUAUGAGGCUCCGCAAUUGGAAUGAGUACAAUUUAAAUCCUUUAACGAGGAACAAUUGGAGGGCAAGUCUGGUGCCAGCAGCCGCGGUAACUCCAGCUCCAAUAGCGUAUAUUAAAGUUGCUGCAGUUAAAAAGCUCGUAGUUGGAUCUCAGGUACGGAGCUAGUGGUUGGCUUUAGCCGAACCAUUAGUUUCCGCCUCACUAGCUGUAUGUUAUCUUGUGUGCUCUUCACUGUGUGCACAAGAUACUCAGCACGUUUACUUUGAAAAAAUUAGAGUGCUCAAAGCAGGCCUUGUGCUUGAAUACUGUUGCAUGGAAUAAUGGAAUAGGACUUCGGUUCUAUUUUGUUGGUUUUCGGAAUCGAAGUAAUGAUUAAAAGAGACAGACGGGGGCAUCUGUAUGGUGGUGUUAGAGGUGAAAUUCGAUGAUCGCCGCCAGACAAACAACUGCGAAAGCAUUUGCCAAGGAUGUUUUCAUUAAUCAAGAACGAAAGUCAGAGGUUCGAAGACGAUCAGAUACCGUCCUAGUUCUGACCAUAAACGAUGCCAACUGACAAUCGGAGUUUAUUAUUAUUUUUCACUCCGGCAGUCCCUGGGAAACCUUUAAGUCUAUCGGUUCUGGGGGGAGUAUGGUUGCAAAUCCGAAACUUAAAGGAAUUGACGGAAGGGCACCACCAGGUGUGGAGCCUGCGGCUUAAUUUGACCCAACACGGGAAAACUCACCCGGCCCGGACACUGUGAGGAUUGACAGAUUGAUAGCUCUUUCUUGAUUCAGUGGGUGGUGGUGCAUGGCCGUUCUUAGUUGGUGGAGUGAUUUGUCUGGUUAAUUCCGAUAACGAACGAGACUCUAGCCUGCUAAAUAGUCACCACGUAAUAAUUGCGUGGACUGACUUCUUAGAGGGAUUCGCUACGUUUAGUGGCACGAAAUUGAGCAAUAACAGGUCUGUGAUGCCCUUAGAUGUUCGGGGCCGCACGUGCGCUACACUGACGAUAUCAAUGAGUGUCUUCCUAAGCCGAGAGGUUUGGGAAAUCUUAUGAAUUAUCGUCAUGUCAGGGAUUGGGGCUUGUAAUUUUUCCCCAUGAACGAGGAAUACCGAGUAAGCGCAAGUCAUAAGCUUGCGCUGAUUACGUCCCUGCCCUUUGUACACACCGCCCGUCGCUACUACCGAUUGAAUGGUUUAGUGAGGCAUUUGGAUCGAGAUUAAUGAAGUGGUUUUCCAUUUUGUUGAUUUUGAGAAAAUUGUCAAACUUGAUCAUUUAGAGGAAGUAAAAGUCGUAACAAGGUU